RNAcentral lists this transfer RNA (64 nucleotides) under Fopius arisanus. RNAcentral describes it as "tRNA-His". The record is from RNAcentral. Lineage: Eukaryota; Metazoa; Arthropoda; Insecta; Hymenoptera; Braconidae.
AUUUAAAUAGUUUAAAUUAAAAUAUUAAUUUGUGAUAUUAAAGAUUUAUUAUGUAAUUUAAAUU